UUUCACCAUGUUGGUCAGGCUGGUCUCAAACUCCUGACCUCAGGCGAUCCAUCCACCUCGGCCUCCCAAAGUGCUGGGAUUACAGGCAUGAGCCACCGUGCCCGGCCAAGAGUGGGGAUAUUUUCUGAGAAAUGCAUUGUUAGGCGAUCUUGUCAUUGAAGCAUCAUAGAGUGUACUUACACAAACCUAGCUGAUAGAGCCUACUAUAAACCUAGGCUAUAUCGCAUAGCCUAGCGCUCCUAGGCUACAAACCUGGACAGCAUGUUACCAUACUGAAUUAUGUGCGCAACUGUAACACAAUGAACCUCCUUUAGACGUCCUUCACUUCCAGGAUCCAGUCCAAACUCCUGGGCUUGGCACAUGAACCCUCCAUCAUCUGGCACCUGGCAGCCCACAUGCUGGAGCCUCACGGAUUUGCUCAUCGCCCUCUGAACACCUGUGGCCUUCUCACUCCUCUGUGUCUUUGCACAUCCUUUCCCCAACCUCAUGCCAGGCCAUUGCAUUGUGAUCCAGGCUCAGUCUUCGUUCUGCUUCGUGGCAUCACAGUCCCUUAUUUGAAACUGAACCAGGACUGCAGUCUUCGACUUUGACAUCAAAUUUGACACCUCAGUGGCCCAAGCUUUCAGAAACUUGGAAUUGCAGACAUUAUGGAUUUGGACCUGCCCUCAGAAGAGCUACCUACUGAAAUAUUUACAAGUGAAAUGAUGUGAGAUGUGGGAUUUGAUUCAAAAUGAUCCUUUAUGUAUGAAGAGUGGGGCGUGGAGAAUGCAUGAAGAUACAGAUAAAAUAAACGUGUCUAUGGGUUAAU
This 808-nucleotide long non-coding RNA is filed under the name Homo sapiens (human). RNAcentral's name for it is "HSALNT0354309". The record is from RNAcentral. Lineage: Eukaryota; Metazoa; Chordata; Mammalia; Primates; Hominidae.